AUAAAAACGUAUAUUCUAUUAUUUAACAAAUGAAUUAGUCAUAAAUAUAUUCUUCACUUGCAACAUGUUUUAAAGAAGCAGCUUUUAGGUUAUAAAAAUAAUAUAACUAUCAACCCUACAAUAUGGAAUCUUCUGACUUUAUAAGCACCAGCGAUAUGUCUACUACCAACAAUACCGAAAAUGAAACAAUACAAGAUAUGUCUGCAGUUCGGGCUCAUACGAACAUAAACGGUUCAACUUUGGGUAAUAUGGAAAUUCAAAUGGACAAUUAUGAUGAAGACCGUACGAAUAUUAAUAAUGCUAAUAAGUUUUGUUGGAAACGGCUAAGUAAUCCUUCUGGACCUCAGCCACGUCCAAGACAUGGACAUCGAGCCAUCAACAUAAAAGAAUUAAUGGUCGUGUUUGGUGGAGGGAAUGAAGGCAUUGUAGACGAACUUCAUGUUUAUAAUUCUGUUACCAAUCAAUGGUUUGUACCGGCAAUGCGUGGUGAAGUUCCACCAGGUUGUGCCGCAUAUGGUUUUGUUGUUGUGGGUACUCGUAUGUUUGUUUUUGGUGGCAUGAUUGAAUAUGGAAAAUAUUCUAAUGAACUUUAUGAGUUGCAAGCAACAAAAUGGGAAUGGCGUAAAAUGCAGCCUGAAUUGCCGGAUAACAUGCCAGCUCCAUGUCCACGUCUAGGCCACAGUUUCACCAUAGUAGGGGAUCGUAUAUUUCUUUUUGGCGGCUUAGCUAACGAAUCUGAUGAUCCUAAAAACAACAUACCUAAGUAUCUAAACGAUUUAUACAUUUUGGAAACCCGUGGAGUACACAGUCAUAACGGCAAAUGGAUUAUGCCAAAAACAUAUGGAGAAAGCCCACCUCCACGGGAGUCUCAUACUGGCGUAGCAUUUACAAGCAAAAAAUCCAAUAAACUACAUUUAUUGAUUUAUGGUGGAAUGAGUGGUUGUCGCCUAGGUGAUUUGUGGCUCUUGGAAGUUGAUUCUAUGACAUGGUCAAAGCCACGAACACGUGGUCCCGCACCGUUACCCAGAUCCUUACAUAGCGCCACAAUGAUUUGCAAUAAAAUGUAUGUUUUUGGGGGAUGGGUACCUUUACUUAUAAAUGAUUCUAAAUCAACAACCGAAAGAGAAUGGAAAUGCACAAAUACUCUCGCAGUUCUCAAUUUGGAUUCAAUGACUUGGGAAAAUGUAACUGUCGACUCGGUUGAUGAAGAUGUACCACGAGCUAGGGCUGGCCACUGUGCAGUAGGUAUUCAAAGCCGUCUGUAUGUGUGGUCUGGUCGUGAUGGGUAUCGUAAAGCAUGGAACAACCAGGUUAGGGUUUGCUGCAAAGAUCUGUGGUAUCUUGAGGUCACUAAACCACUUUAUGCCGUUAAAGUUGGUUUGGUGCGUGCUUCCACCCAUGCAUUGGAACUGUGUUGGACCGCUACUACUUUUGCUACAGCCUAUGAGUUACAAACACAAAAAAUCGAACCUGUAACUAUGGCUGCUAAAGUGGUAACACCUUCAUAUGCUCCUAGUGCUUGUGCUACGACAGUGCCCAGCAGUCAAAAUCCCGUUAAUGGAAUGACAACGUCAAUACAACCCUCACCAACAAUGUCAUCGAACAAGCAUCAGAAGAUUUAUAAUACAGCCCUACCCACUGUUACUUUGCAACAAUCUACUGUCAAAGUAUCUACCAAUGCUCUUAUACAGCAACAGGCGCAGCCACAAACGCAUCAGCCGCAGCAACAACCUCAUAUGCAGGGUUCAACUAUUUACAUAGCACAACAAGUUCAGCAAUCUCAACAAAUCAGUCAAAUCAAUGCAAAAAUUUUAGCUUCGUCUCCGAGCAUUGUAGAGAAUACUAUGCCGACGCCACGCAUAAUAAAUGCGGCAGCACCGGCAAUUGUAAAUUCCAGCACCCCUGUUAGCGGUAGUGGAGGGGUCAUAUCAGCAACUUUAGUAAAUGUGUCCCAACAACAACCAAGUGUAUCAAUGAUCAAUAAUAACAUAACAACCAUAUUGCAAAAAUACCGACCGAAUACGGUUGUAUCUCGAACUUCUGCUAUAACUGCACCAAUUGCCACAGGAUCGGCUGCAAUAUCGUGUACACAGGUGAAUGCUGGUACUAAUAGUUUACGUGUUGUAAGUGCUGCGUCUACUCCUGUAACAACAACAGCUCAGACGAAUACUGUUCGCAUUGUGUCAGGAAAUGCUGGUCAGACUUUACGUUUAGCUACUACACAAGCUUCAGGAAAUACAACUACCAUAUUGAAAACCGCUCAAAAUACGAGCGCUAACAUGACUGGACAGGUACAAAACACUGCUAUUGCUAAUUCAGGAACGUCCAUAGGUACUGCUACCACAAUUGGUGGCAAACAAUAUAUAUUGCAAAAGCCUUUAACAUUGGGAACAAAUGUACAGUUUCAGUUAGUAAAAACUAGCACAGGCGGAGUAGCCGUGCAAACCCUUCCGAAAAUUAAUUUGAAAAAUACUAACACCGCAGGCGCACCAACUGUAGGUACGCAACAGACAGCAACAGGACAAAUAGUGACAGCUUCACAAACAGUAGUUAGCAAUGUUGUUUCACAAACACAGCAACAGUUUAUUGCUACUGUUGGCGCUGGUACCAAUGCAAAUUGCAUAACAUCUAUAGCAACUAAUGUGUCCACCGGACAGCAAAAACCAAUAGUAUCUGGUAAUCUUGUUAAAUUGGUUUCCCCGCAUACCGUUAGUGGUGGUAAAUUAAUUAUGAAAAACUCAAAUAUACUACAAGUGGGGAAGGUAUCUUCAAAUGUUGCCGGCAAACCAGCAUUUGUUAUCACUAACAAACAGGGACAUCAGUUAACCAAUCAACAGAUCAUAAUUGUUACUACUGGUUCAGCUUUACGAACCAUAUCGACAUCAAAUGUGGUGUCUCAAGCAGGUGCAUGCAACAUUGUUUCAAUAGUAGGUUCUACAUCGACAACAGCUACAGCUGUAGCGCAUAGAAAUGUGGUAGCUACUCAGAGUGGUGUUAAAAUGAUACGUGGAGUUACAAGCACAACAGGACGCCCAAUUACUCUAACAUUGCCUUCAGCGACAACGCAAUUGUCUCAGCAACAUCUUACGGGUCAACAACAUCAGCAAAAAAUCAAUGUGCAGGCUGCAAAUAUACAUCAAAAAACAAUAACAUUGGGAGGUAAAGCAGUAACAGUUCAAAUGGCUGCAAAUCCCAAUAUAACUGGGCUAACCAAAACUGUUACGAUCGUUGGAUCAAGCUCAGGGCAUACUCAACCUCAGACCAUUGUUACAAGCGGUAUAGCUGGCAACACAGGAAGCAAAUUAGUCGUGUUACCCGCUAACACAACCAUAGCUAAUAAAGGAUUUGUUAAUAUUUUAAAUACAACUGGCGUAAAUAAUAGCGGAGGAAAUACUUUGCAACGUUCGAUUACAUUAGCAUCUAAAAAUAUAAUGGGGACAACAAAUUCACAAGUCGGUUUUGCGACACACAUCAAUAGUAAUGGGUCAAAUGAACCGACAGUUGCUAUAACAGCACUAACAGAUUCUAAUUACACUGAGGGUGAUACUAUGGACGAUAUAAUUGAACAAUUAGAUGGUGCAACAGACGUAUUUGGAAAAACCAUUGACACUAACUCCGAAGAUAUUGAUUGCGAGGCAGAAACUCUCGAGUUGAAUUAUAACCAAAACCAAGUAGUAGAAAUGUAUGAAGAUUUUGAAGAAGUCGGCAUUACCUCUUUAAAUGAAACAAGAGAUUCUACAAAUAUUCGUGUAAGCACGAGAAGGAAACCUGAGUUUGCAAUUGAAUGCAUGCGCGUCCCCAAUGCGGUAGUCAUCAACUCAGAAUCUCCCCACAUACAAACAGUAUAUACACAAAAAUGUUUAAGUAAAUAAAGGAAUAACUUCGGAAAGACCACUUGCAUUACAGGGAAUGGAGUCUUUGUUGUUAUACUACCACGCAUUUCAAAAGAGGAGUACUUCUUUUUGGAUACUGUAGCAGAUAACAUUGAAUUUAAUGUUAUACUAACAUGAAUAUGCGUCAUCAUACCCAGCUAUAUAUAACUUAACUCAGCUAUUAAUGCAAUAUAAACAGGGCUGGGUCAACUUACCGUGCGUAAAUAGAUACAUAUGUAAAUUACGGAUAAUGUUUCAAAUGCACACGUUAAGAUAGUUUAUAAAAAUGCUUUUACUACUAUUAAUUUUCAGAUUAGACUCUUUGAUUCAUAAUAACAGUUUAUUUGCAUUUACAAUUUUAAUCUUUAAUUGGAAUUAAAUUCCCAUAAUUAUCUUUACAACUUUAUUUAAUAAAAAGAUGCAAGACAUUUAUAAUAUGUUUAUUUAUAUUUAAUUUGAAUGAAAAUGACAAAAUUACCAUAAAGCUUCAUUCCUGGUUUAAAGAUAUUCAGCAAUAAGCCGAAAUUUUUAUUUGUAGUUAAGAUUUUGAAAUUUAACAUAUACAUACAUAUAUAAUAACAAUGUGGAAAAAAUGUUGAACUCGGAAGUGUUUGGAAUUAUAGAUAACUAUUUUAUGUAGUAAUGCAAUUAUUUUUUUUACUUUGUGUUGAAAGUGUGUUUAUUAAAAAAAUAAAUAUCAAAAUUUACACAUUUAUGGAUAUAUUUACUAUUGUACAUUUAUACAAAAUAAACGGAGUAAUAUUUCCAUUA
This 4643-nucleotide unclassified non-coding RNA is filed under the name Bactrocera tryoni. RNAcentral describes it as "host cell factor, transcript variant X4". Lineage: Eukaryota; Metazoa; Arthropoda; Insecta; Diptera; Tephritidae. The record is from RNAcentral.